CCUGGUAGCUCAGAUGGUAAAGAAUCUGCCUGCAAUGCAGAAGGUCCAGGUUCAAUCCCUGGGUCAGGA
This 69-nucleotide transfer RNA is filed under the name Ovis aries (sheep). It matches the Rfam family "tRNA". From Rfam's summary of the family: Transfer RNA (tRNA) molecules are approximately 80 nucleotides in length. Their secondary structure includes four short double-helical elements and three loops (D, anti-codon, and T loops). Lineage: Eukaryota; Metazoa; Chordata; Mammalia; Artiodactyla; Bovidae. The record is from Rfam by way of RNAcentral.